GCUUGAUAACUGUGACUUGUACAAUAAAUUCAGCCAUGAUUCAUAUGACCAUAACUGACAUAACAGAUGCCCUGCCCUUCUGACUGAUUUGAUUGCAUUUUAGAUAAGAAUGUCCAUCCCAAAACAUGUGGAUUUUAGGUUGGGAUGUUAAGGAUGCUUUUCCUCUGCCAAACAUCAAGAUUGCUUGAUGCCAAACACUAAAACUUUGAAAAAUACCUCUUUUUAAACAGAAGUCCUUCUAAUGAAUAUAGGAAAUGUUUGGAAGUAACUAAAGGAGGGUGGAGGAGCCUCCACCACAGCAGAGCCUGCAGGAUUGUUUUGGAUUCCUUUCCCAUUCUGAUGACCUCCAGGGUAAUGAUAGUUGCUGCAAGGAGUUCCAGGGAGAAGAGCUGUAACUACUCCAAGUUCAACAUUGUCUCUUUUGUGUGUUUUAAUUAAAGUUUAAUUUUAAUUUGUAAAUGUCAUAU
RNAcentral lists this long non-coding RNA (467 nucleotides) under Homo sapiens (human). RNAcentral describes it as "HSALNT0138605". Lineage: Eukaryota; Metazoa; Chordata; Mammalia; Primates; Hominidae. The record is from RNAcentral.